This 353-nucleotide unclassified non-coding RNA is filed under the name soil metagenome. Its description in RNAcentral is "partial contains 5.8S ribosomal RNA, internal transcribed spacer 2, and large subunit ribosomal RNA". The stretch from base 1 to 120 matches the Rfam family "5.8S ribosomal RNA", at positions 35 to 154 of the family's 154-position model. The record is from RNAcentral.
GAUGAAGAACGCAGCGAAAUGCGAUAAGUAAUGCGAAUUGCAGAUUUCAGUGAGUCAUCGAAUCUUUGAACGCACAUUGCGCCCGCCAGUAUUCUGGCGGGCAUGCCUGUUCGAGCGUCAUUACAACCCUCAGGCCCCCGGGCCUGGCGUUGGGGAUCGGCGGAAGCCCCCUGCGGGCACAACGCCGUCCCCCAAAUACAGUGGCGGUCCCGCCGCAGCUUCCAUUGCGUAGUAGCUAACACCUCGCAACUGGAGAGCGGCGCGGCCACGCCGUAAAACACCCAACUUCUGAAUGUUGACCUCGAAUCAGGUAGGAAUACCCGCUGAACUUAAGCAUAUCAAUAAGCGGAGGA